Long non-coding RNA from Gastrolobium bilobum, 221 nucleotides. RefSeq lists it as uncharacterized. The transcript has 3 exons. Lineage: Eukaryota; Viridiplantae; Streptophyta; Magnoliopsida; Fabales; Fabaceae. The record is from RefSeq and is a predicted model, not a curated record.
CCGUGAGUGAUCAACCGCUUGAGCAAGCUAUGGAGCUUGAGUAGCUCAUUGGAAUUGGUGUUGGUUUUGGAGUAGAGUAUUGUUGACAUUGGUGGUGAACAAAGGUCGAAUUGAAGCUUGAGGUAAGGAUGCUGCAGGAGCCUCUGGUGGCAAGUGGCCAUAUCUGGAUUAUGCAUGAAAUGUGGCAUUUCUUUUGAGAUUGUACAUGUUGUUUUGUAGCU